Molecule: ribosomal RNA, 460 nt
Filed under: uncultured bacterium
Lineage: Bacteria
Description: partial 16S ribosomal RNA
Rfam family: Bacterial small subunit ribosomal RNA
Source: RNAcentral
CCUACGGGUGGCAGCAGUGAGGAAUAUUGGUCAAUGGGCGCGAGCCUGAACCAGCCAAGUAGCGUGAAGGCUGACUGCCCUACGGGUUGUAAACUUCUUUUAUAAAAGAAUAAAGUGAGGCACGUGUGCCUUUUUGUAUGUCCUUUAUGAAUAAGGAUCGGCUAACUCCGUGCCAGCAGCCGCGGUAAUACGGAGGAUCCGAGCGUUAUCCGGAUUUAUUGGGUUUAAAGGGAGCGUAGAUGGGUUGUUAAGUCAGUUGUUAAAGUUUGCGGCUCAACCGUAAAAUUGCAAUUGCUACUGGCAGCCUUGAGUACAGUUGAGGUAGGCGGAAUUCGUGGUGGAGCGGUGAAAUGCUUAGAUAUCACGAAGAACUCCGAUUGCGAAGGCAGCUUACUAAUCUGCCACUGACAUUGAUGCUCGAAAGUGUGGGUAUCAAACAGGAUUAGAUACCCCUGUAGUC